UGGAUUCAGCGGCGGACGGGUGAGUAAUGCCUAGGAAUCUGCCUGAUAGUGGGGGACAACGUUUCGAAAGGAACGCUAAUACCGCAUACGUUCUACGGGAGAAAGCAGGGGACCUUCGGGCCUUGCNCNAUCAGAUGAGCCUAGGUCGGAUUAGCUAGUUGGUGAGGUAAUGGCUCACCAAGGCGACGAUCCGUAACUGGUCUGAGAGGAUGAUCAGUCACACUGGAACUGAGACACGGUCCAGACUCCUACGGGAGGCAGCAGUGGGGAAUAUUGGACAAUGGGCGAAAGCCUGAUCCAGCCAUGCCGCGUGUGUGAAGAAGGUCUUCGGAUUGUAAAGCACUUUAAGUUGGGAGGAAGGGUUGUAGAUUAAUACUCUGCAAUUUUGACGUUACCGACAGAAUAAGCACCGGCUAACUCUGUGCCAGCAGCCGCGGUAAUACAGAGGGUGCAAGCGUUAAUCGGAAUUACUGGGCGUAAAGCGCGCGUAGGUGGUUUGUUAAGUUGGAUGUGAAAUCCCCGGGCUCAACCUGGGAACUGCAUCCAAAACUGGCAAGCUAGAGUAUGGUAGAGGGUGGUGGAAUUUCCUGUGUAGCGGUGAAAUGCGUAGAUAUAGGAAGGAACACCAGUGGCGAAGGCGACACCUGGACUGAUACUGACACUGAGGUGCGAAAGCGUGGGGAGCAAACAGGAUUAGAUACCCUGGUAGUCCACGCCGUANACGAUGUCAACUAGCCGUUGGGAGCCUUGAGCUCUUAGUGGCGCAGCUAACGCAUUAAGUUGACCGCC
This 789-nucleotide ribosomal RNA is filed under the name uncultured bacterium. RNAcentral's name for it is "bacterial SSU rRNA". It matches the Rfam family "Bacterial small subunit ribosomal RNA", at positions 87 to 873 of the family's 1533-position model. The record is from RNAcentral.